This is an RNA transcript of Andrographis paniculata, 1194 nucleotides long. RefSeq lists it as uncharacterized. Lineage: Eukaryota; Viridiplantae; Streptophyta; Magnoliopsida; Lamiales; Acanthaceae. The transcript has 3 exons. The record is from RefSeq and is a predicted model, not a curated record.
AUGGGAAAUUUCAGGGGACACGUGGCGCCGGGGCUGGCGUUCUGCACCAUCGGGUUCUGGCACCUCUUCAACCACACCCGGAUCCACGCCGCCAGCCCCAAGACCUACGUCUCCCUCCCCUGGUUCCCCACCCGCCUCUCCCGCCACCUCGAGCUCUACUUCAUCGCCGCCGCCGCCGCCACCUCCAUCUCCAUGGAGCUCUUCAUCAUGCCCCGCCGCCACCACCCGCUCGACACCGACGCCACCAUCCCGGCCAACCACCUCCACAACUUCGAGCACUCCAACAUCUCCCUCUCCAUCCUCUCCUACGCCCUCUUCGCCCUCCUCCUCGACCGCCUCAACCCCCCCGCCGCGGGCGCCCUCACCCACCUCCUCGGCGUCGUCAUGCUCGCCCAGGAGUUCCUCCUCUUCCACCUCCACUCCGCCGACCACGCCGGCCUCGAGGGCCAGUACCACUGGCUCCUCCAGCUCGUCAUCUUCGCCGCCCUCGCCGCCACCCUCGCCAGCAUCCGCUACCCCAGGAGCUUCCUGCUCAGCUUCGCCAGGUCGCUGGCCGUGGCGGCGCAGGGGGUGUGGCUCGUCGUCAUCGGCUUCAUGCUCUACACCCCGGCCCUCAUCCCCAAGGGCUGCCUGCUCGCCAAGGACGACGGCCAUGACGUCAUCAUCUGUGACGUCGCCUCCGGGGCGCUAGACCGGGCCAAGUCCCUCGCCAACAUCCUCUUCAGCUACUACGUUGUCGGGGUCUCCGCCUUGGGAGUCGCCGCCUAUCUGGUGCUCUACUCCAUCUACUCUAAUGAUCGUCAAAGCCGUGUUGCCCCCGCCGCCGCCGGAAUCUUCUCAGAAGAUUACAACGACAGCGGCGGCGAAGAGAUGAAGGGGUUUCUACACGGCGAGCUGGGGAAUAAGGGAUCAUCAUUUCCGGUGCCAAGGACUUAAUUAGCUAGCUAGGCAGGGAGGCAGGCAGGCAUGCAUUAAUGUAUGAUUUUGUCAAUGGCAUAACUUUGGUACUCCAAUGGUAAUGGAGGAGAGGAGAUCAGGAGAUGGAUGGAUGGAUGCAUCCAAUAUAAUACUUACUAGCUAGGGGGAGAUUAGAGCAAGAGGAAAUGCUCCCAAAAGAAAAUAUAAAAAAAAAGAAAAAAGAAUGUAUUCUUGAAAUCAUAACAAAAAGACUAAAAUAAUCCUCUAAUUAAAUAA